Molecule: long non-coding RNA, 423 nt
Filed under: Elaeis guineensis (African oil palm)
Lineage: Eukaryota; Viridiplantae; Streptophyta; Magnoliopsida; Arecales; Arecaceae
Description: long non-coding RNA (EGUI_LNC065995)
Source: RNAcentral
CAUAGGAUCACUUAGAGCCAUCGGAUUGUGCAUAAGAUGUGGGUUACCACCGAAGUAUAUGGGAAGGAGUGUUCCUGGUCAUCUGAUUGGGUGUUUAGAUCUAUUUUUAGUCGUUGAUUAGUGCAAACAAGCUUCCGCCCUCUCUGUAGACUGCGAUGUGGACCGACGCCUGUUUCUGUGGACCGUCGGUGGAUCGAUCAACUGGUCCAUGGUACACUGAGCAGAUUUUGGGUUGGUUUGGGCUUGGUUUUGAGUCUAAUUUGGGUUGAUUUUAAGCUUAAUUUGGCUUGGAUUUGAUCCUCCUUUGGGUCUCCAUUUGAGAUCCAUUUUGAGUCCAAUUUGUUCUCAAUUUGAGUCUUUUUAACUUGUGAAUAGGGCUUUUUGUAUUGGCGGUCAUCUUUCUUGCAAAAGAGAAGUAGAAGC